AUCCAGUGACGAGUUCCAAAUAGGACGAAAUGCGAAUCCUGAAU
This 44-nucleotide non-coding RNA is filed under the name Trichobilharzia regenti. Lineage: Eukaryota; Metazoa; Platyhelminthes; Trematoda; Strigeidida; Schistosomatidae. The record is from RNAcentral.